This 279-nucleotide unclassified non-coding RNA is filed under the name plant metagenome. RNAcentral's name for it is "partial contains small subunit ribosomal RNA, internal transcribed spacer 1, and 5.8S ribosomal RNA". The record is from RNAcentral.
UCUCCGUAGGUGAACCUGCGGAGGGAUCAUUACAGAGUUCUUGACCUACCGGGUAGAUCUGCCACCCUAUGUUAUUAUUACUUUGUUGCUUUGGCGGGCCGUUAGGCUCCGGCCCGUCUACCGGCCCCGGCUGGUACGCGCCCGCCCGACGGCCCAAAACCCUGAAUCUUAGAGUCGUCUGAAUAAUAGAUCAUAGUUAAAAAUUUCAACAACAGAACGCUUGGGUCUGGCAGCGAUGAAGAACGCAGCAGAUCGGAAGACCACAAGUCCGAACUCCCG